GGGAAUAUGGUCUAGUGGUAUGACGUCGCUUCCGCAAAGCGAAGGUCCGGGGUUCGAUCCCCUGUGUUUCCA
This is a non-coding RNA of Mycosarcoma maydis (corn smut), 72 nucleotides long. Lineage: Eukaryota; Fungi; Basidiomycota; Ustilaginomycetes; Ustilaginales. The record is from the annotation of a RefSeq genome assembly.